This 29-nucleotide small RNA is filed under the name Bombyx mori (domestic silkworm). RNAcentral describes it as "ovarian small RNA-26582". Lineage: Eukaryota; Metazoa; Arthropoda; Insecta; Lepidoptera; Bombycidae. The record is from RNAcentral.
UCCAAUCCACCACUGGUCCUCGUAACAGU